GAUCCUGGCUCAGGAUGAACGCUGGCGGCGUGCUUAACACAUGCAAGUCGAACGAAGCACCUUGAUUCGAUUCUUCGGAUGAAGAUCUUGGUGACUGAGUGGCGGACGGGUGAGUAACGCGUGGGUAACCUGCCUCAUACAGGGGGAUAACAGUUAGAAAUGACUGCUAAUACCGCAUAAGACCACAGCACCGCAUGGUGCAGGGGUAAAAAUUCCGGUGGUAUGAGAUGGACCCG
Molecule: ribosomal RNA, 236 nt
Filed under: uncultured bacterium
Lineage: Bacteria
Description: partial 16S ribosomal RNA
Rfam family: Bacterial small subunit ribosomal RNA
Source: RNAcentral